RNAcentral lists this unclassified non-coding RNA (336 nucleotides) under Hevea brasiliensis (rubber tree). Lineage: Eukaryota; Viridiplantae; Streptophyta; Magnoliopsida; Malpighiales; Euphorbiaceae. The record is from RNAcentral.
GGGUUCCUCUGACACCCUAUUUAUAGAGGAUCUUGUGUAGGGACAGGAAAGUGGAAAGACAAUUGAGAGAAAAAAGAGGAAAAUAAGUAGGCUUUGUUUUUUUUUUGGUUAUUGGAAAAGCUUUUAGUUUUACUGUGUUUUGAUCCCUUUUCACCUGUUUUGUUCUCAUGCAGUAAGAUAAAAAAAGUCUGAUACUCUGAUUCACGGUUUAACUUAUCUGACCUCUAAUUUGGUCAGGUUUUGAUAAUUGUGAUUCCGCAAGUAUUGUUACUUAUCUUUGCCAUUGCAACCAUUUAACACUCUAUCCUUGGUUACUUGGUUUGUUACAGGGACUAU